Molecule: non-coding RNA, 72 nt
Organism: Ornithorhynchus anatinus (platypus)
Lineage: Eukaryota; Metazoa; Chordata; Mammalia; Monotremata; Ornithorhynchidae
Source: Rfam
AGCAGCGUGGCUCAGUGGAAAGAGCCCGGGCUUGGGAAUCAGAGGUCAUGGGUUCGAAUCCCAGCUCUGCCG